UGGGGAAUUUUGGACAAUGGGCGAAAGCCUGAUCCAGCAAUGCCGCGUGUGUGAAGAAGGCCUUCGGGUUGUAAAGCACUUUUGUCCGGAAAGAAAUCCUUGGCUCUAAUACAGUCGGGGGAUGACGGUACCGGAAGAAUAAGCACCGGCUAACUACGUGCCAGCAGCCGCGGUAAUACGUAGGGUGCAAGCGUUAAUCGGAAUUACUGGGCGUAAAGCGUGCGCAGGCGGUUUGCUAAGACCGAUGUGAAAUCCCCGGGCUCAACCUGGGAACUGCAUUGGUGACUGGCAGGCUAGAGUAUGGCAGAGGGGGGUAGAAUUCCACGUGUAGCAGUGAAAUGCGUAGAGAUGUGGAGGAAUACCGAUGGCGAAGGCAGCCCCCUGGGCCAAUACUGACGCUCAUGCACGAAAGCGUGGGGAGCAAAACAGGAUUAGAUACCCUGGGUAGUCCACGCCCUAAAACGAUGUCAACUAGUUGUUGGGGAUUCAUUUCCUUAGUAACGUAGCUAACGCGUGAAGUUGACCGCCUGGGGAGUACGGCCGCAAGGUUAAAACUUAAAUGAAUUGACGGGGUCAUAGCUGUUUCCU
This 588-nucleotide ribosomal RNA is filed under the name uncultured bacterium. Its description in RNAcentral is "partial 16S ribosomal RNA". It matches the Rfam family "Bacterial small subunit ribosomal RNA", at positions 355 to 1375 of the family's 1533-position model. The record is from RNAcentral.